UCGUACAGUAUUUCACAACACUGCCGGUGAAAAGACGACGAGUCUACAACGUUAAUGCUUAUAGCUAAAAGGUUAACAAGCGAGAUCUUGUAGUACGGCUAGUUAUGUUUUGAAUUGGCUAUAUAGUUAAUGAAAUUCUUUUCUAGGCUACCUGCUGCUGAAAUGUCUCUCUCUCCUCGAGCAACAGCCCAUUCGCACUGGCACACAUGCAGAUGAAGCACAGCACACACAGAGAGACGCACUGAAGGGAACUGACUCCAGUUAUAAUUAGUGAGUGGUAAUUCUGCGAAAAGGAGGGUUUCUUACCUUUUACAAUCAAUAUGGCCACUGCUGACAGGCUCUCCACGUCUGUGUCCACCACGCAGAUGUACUUCCCGGCAUGAUUCAACUGGAUGUUUCUGAUCAUCAGAUCCCCAGCUGUUCUCUACAAAGGCAAUCAUAAGAAAUCCCAAACAACCUGGGACCAGAGAUGUGGGUGAGCUGUGAACUUUGCCCUUUGUGAUGCUGUUCAUCACCACACAGGUAUAGUUGCCCACAUCUGAGGGCUCCACUUUGGCGAUGUACAGGUUGCCAGUCUCCUGAGAUACGAAGCGCCUGUUGUCUUGCUGGACGAAGUAUGGGUAUUCAUUGAAGACCCAUGAAUAACUAAGGUCUAGAAAGGGAAAUGAAGGGGAGAUUUAGCCAACUACUGAUAUGACGUUACAUUCAAAACUUGAAACCAAGAACACAAAUGCUGCAUUUAUACAGGCAGCCCAGUUCUGAUCUUUUGCCCAAUUGGCAAAGAUCUGAUGUGAUUUGUCAAAACACCAAUACCCUAUGAAAGUGAUGCUAAUUGUUACUUCUGGGAUCCUCGUUUUGUAGGCUAAGAAUGGGCUUCAAAAAUGCAUCCUCAAAUCCAUGAAAACGUGCUAAUUUAAGAUAUAUAUUAAAAUGUAUGUGUUUAGAAAACAUAAUCUACAAAUUUGACGCCCAAGAAAAAGCACGAAGCCAAAAAGUUACAACUCUUUCAUUUGAACUACAGACAUAAACAACAACUGCUUAAAGGUGUUUCGACAUUUUUUUUACAUUUUCAAAAAGUACUGGGUGGCAACAUUCACAAAAAAAGCAUAAUCUAUUAUGAAACACAUAAAAUUGCCUGUAGCUAACGGGUUCUUACCAUCCUGUAGGUCCUCAGCUUGAGCAGGCGCGCUCCAGCAUGCUAACAACGCUGCAACACUUUUCUAACUUUCAACGAUGUGUCUUACUUCUUGAGAUUCAAAUAUUUUGAUGAAAGGCAUUGGGUGUGAGUAAAUCAGUAAACAAAUACGAUUAUAAUUAUAUAUACAGUGCCUUGCGAAAGUAUUCGGCCCCCUUGAACUUUGCGACCUUUUGCCACAUUUCAGGCUUCAAACAUAAAGAUAUAAAACUGUAUUUUUUUU
Molecule: long non-coding RNA, 1418 nt
Organism: Oncorhynchus gorbuscha (pink salmon)
Lineage: Eukaryota; Metazoa; Chordata; Actinopteri; Salmoniformes; Salmonidae
Exons: 3
Source: RefSeq, a predicted model, not a curated record